RNAcentral lists this Y RNA (96 nucleotides) under Microcebus murinus (gray mouse lemur). Its description in RNAcentral is "Y RNA (ENSMICG00000043839.1)". It matches the Rfam family "Y RNA". Rfam says of the family: Y RNAs are components of the Ro ribonucleoprotein particle (Ro RNP), in association with Ro60 and La proteins. The Y RNAs and Ro60 and La proteins are well conserved, but the function of the Ro RNP is not known. In humans the RNA component can be one of four small RNAs -- hY1, hY3, hY4 and hY5. The record is from RNAcentral. Lineage: Eukaryota; Metazoa; Chordata; Mammalia; Primates; Cheirogaleidae.
GGUUGGUCCCAUGGUGGUGGGUUAUCAGAACUUAUUAACAUUAGUCUCACUAAAGCUAAUGUAUAACCCCCAACUGCUAAGUUUGACUGGCUAAUA